UCGUUGUUUAAGCACUUAAGUUGUUCUUUUAUAUUGAAGCCUCCUCCUUCAACCAAGUUUCAAGCUUCAAGGAAUCAAGAUCUAGAGAGAAGAGAACAAAAAAGAAAAGAAAAUAAUGGAGGGGUUUUUCUGUAAUGGACAAUUCUCUGCAACUAGAGGAAGCAUCCAAAGGGAUCGCAUUGAUCCCAACUUAUAUAUUUACUUUCAUCAUUUUCUUCUACAUAAUUUUGGAUCAUGCUAUCCCUUCGGAUUCCUCCUUUAGGUAGUUUUCUUUCAAUUUAAACCCCAUCUACCCUUCACUUCUCCGGCCACCGUACUCCGUUGCCGUCCGCCGCUCCCCCAUCUCUAACUUUCAGGCUAACCCCAAUAAAGCUUUUGCAUCUCAAGUACGUUUUUCUCCUUCCCUUUAAAACUAUUUAGCCUCUUUAGAUCCAUUACAAUAACUUUGCCUUUCUUUUGUUGGGUUUUUAAUUGGAUGAAGAGAGAAGUUUAUUCCAGCUCUAGAUCUGAUUUCUCGACGAAACGUUAAGAAAAAUGCUCCGUUAGGUGGAACUGUGAGAGAUAGGAGAGAUUGGAAGGCACAUCCAAACGUUUCAACUAGGUUGACAUAUUGGCCGUCAUCAUAUUUCCAAGAAAUCAUAGAGUUGUUACUCAAACGAAAAGAAAGUAAAAAAGGGGUUAGUUUUCUCAAGUUUGUUAACAUAUAUGUAUAUCUUCCCCUUUUAAAUUUCCUUUUAUUUUUCCUUACUGAACCCAGCAUGAUGUUUAAAGAUAUAAUAAUAAUAAAAGAAAAAGAUACCAUACAUCAGAAAGUUUGGAUUAAUUUUUGGAGAAUGAGAGUAAAAAGGAACAUAAAUGCUAUCUUUUUAUAAGGAAAAAAGAAAUGGUCUGUGGUAUUGAUGAAGCAUCAUUAGCAGACAACAUAGUGGAAGGCUGGUGAUUCAGUACAAUUUUGGGGAUGAAACAGUGGUUCAAAACAUGAGAAGAAAUUACUAAUAAUUUCAAGUUCCUUUUUUUUUUUUUUUUUUUUUUUUUAUCCCCUUUAAUAUCUAUAAGGUAAUUUAAUUUUGAGUCUUUUGACCUAUUUUGAUUUAUAGAAGAUUUUGAUGAUUAAAAGCUUCCAAAACAGCUUAAUUUCACCUUUUGAACAUUUUAAAAGUAAAAUAAACCCUUUUCUUUUACCCUUUGGAUGGGAGUUGAUGGUUUUAUAAUAAUUAUGGUGCCUUUGUUCUCUUGUCUUGAAUUUUCUCUUGAAAUUUGAGUGUUCCUGAAGGCAAAAAAUAAAGGGAAUCCUAUACCAUAAAACAUGUGAUGGGGAGCCCUUGAAAACAGUCCUUUAAGCAAAAACCAUUAUGCUGUUUGUAAUCCAAGAAAAGAAAAGGGUCUUUUCUCUUGUUUUAAAGCACAUGACCCCAAUUCUCUAAAAAAAAAAAAUGGUCUCUUCUCUUCCCUAUUUAAAUCCCUUUAAUCACAUGGUCACCCCCACCUUUUACUAUGCUCUUCCUUCUCUACAUUAUCUCUUCAAUAAUUUAUUACAUGUGCCAUUAAUGGAGAAAGCAUCCAAGAUAUAAAAUUGGUAAACUGUCAUCUAAUUAAGGUCCCAUUUGAUAAUAGACCGUUCGAUCAAAUUGAUAAUGACUUUGUAAUAUACUUCUAGAAGAAGUUUUUCAAAUCGCUCCCCAACUUUAUUAUUAUUAUUUUUUAUUUUAGGUAAUGAACUAGUUUGCACUUUUGUGUAGUUUCGAUUUUUUUAUUUGGGUAUAUGUAUUUAGUGCCACGUUUACUUUCCAAUAAACGUCAAUCGUAAUAUGAAAAGUGGGUCCAUUUAAAUACAUUCCAGAAAGUUAGUUAACAAUAUUAUGUGAAUAAUGAAUAAUAAAAGAAAAUCCAUUACGAUUGGAACCAUUUUGAUUAUAGGGCAAUAAACAUGGCCUAAGUGUAAUUGCGAUAAGUAACACUUUUAAGUCUAAUAAUUAAGCGAUGAGCAAUAUUAUUAAAGAAUUGCAAAUACAGCAAAAUCUAUUGGUCAUAGACUUCUAUUAGUGAUAAGCUCUAUUGUUGAUAGACUUCUAUUAACGAUAUGGUCUAUCAUUGAUAGACUCUAAGAGUUGGAUUUAAAUUUUACUAUAUUUUUAAUUUUUUUUAUAUUGUACUAUAUCUACAAAUAUGUUGGAUCUGAUUUCUAUAUUAGCAACCGUUCUUAUAUUUAUCUAAUUUGCCAUAAACCUUUAAGCUGAUUCAUAGAAACAAUUUGAAGAUGGUUUGUUUGGCCAGGAUUGGAAGGAAAUACUUUUGUCCCUAUAUUUAAAAAAGAAUGUCUCACUAUUAAAAUACACAAAGCUUCAAGAAUACAUAAAAGCAGCCAGACCAAAACCCCUAAAUCUGAUUUUAUUUUUUUUCCAAUUUUCAUACCUUAAAAUUUUUUUUAAGUAUAUCAAUGCUUCUUAAAAAUAUUUAGGGGAGGACCCAUAUUUUUGGGAAUUUGCCCACCAGAUUCAAAACAUUAUCAUAAAAACCAUAUAUAUCCACACAAGAAAAUUAAUAAAUAAACCUCACAUUUCAUCUCUUUCCUUGAUUUGGAGAAGUUUCUUUUAUGUCAUUAAUUUAUGUCUGAUCUAAUCCAUAUAUUUGUAUAUUGAACAUUUUUAAUUAUCACAACCCCUCUCCCAGGUUGCAUAUCAGAAGGAUUUUUCUAGUAGAAUAAUGUGGGUCAUGAAGAGCGAAGCAAUAUAAUACCAAUUAUUUCUGAUUAAUGUUCAAGUUGGAACAUGUUAGAAGUAUAUUUCUUUUCAUGAUACAACAACUGUUCCGGAUCUCAAGAGAAGCAGUGCAUACCAAUUAUUAUCGUUAUGUUAAACUCACCAUGACAUGUGUAUUGAAAAGAAAGUGGGAGAUUUUUCUCAAUAUUUUGUUAAACUAAACACCCAUUCCUUUAUGUUGAUUUUCCCUCAUUCAAAAUAUUUACUUUUAUGGUUAUAAACUAUAUGCAUUAUUUCUGAAAAUACUAGUCAAA
Non-coding RNA from Benincasa hispida (wax gourd), 3013 nucleotides. Lineage: Eukaryota; Viridiplantae; Streptophyta; Magnoliopsida; Cucurbitales; Cucurbitaceae. The record is from RefSeq and is a predicted model, not a curated record.